AUCACUGUGGUUGACUUUUGGUGGAGGAACCAAACUCAUCAUUAACUCUGGCACCAUGGUCAGGCCCUCAGUCUCUCUGCUUCCCCCCUCCUCUGAGCAGCUCUCUGGGGGCUCGGCCACGCUGGCCUGCCUGCUGACCGGCUACUCUCCUCAGGGAGCCGUGGUGAGCUGGCAGGUGGACGGUACGGAGGUGACGGAGGGGGUCCUGAGCAGCUCAGAGGAGGAGAAGAGCGGCCGCUACAGCAGCAGCAGCACCCUGAGCCUGAGCCAGGAGCGCUGGAUGGAAGGAGAGCUGUACUCCUGCAGGGUCCUCCAUCAGGGCCACAGCCAGACCCAGUCCCUCCACAGGAGCCAGUGUAAGGGCUAGAGGGGCCGGCUGAAGCCCAGGACAGGAGCUCUGUGUGGGGGGGAGCAGCUCUGAUCAAUAGCAGUUUGAAUGCUUGUAGAGGAAACUGAAGCUUUGUGUGACAGAGAACAACACUGCUGUAAAGUGUUGGACAACAACAACUUAGAGAGGAAUGUGUGUCGCUCAGCAGC
This is a non-coding RNA of Sebastes umbrosus (honeycomb rockfish), 537 nucleotides long. Lineage: Eukaryota; Metazoa; Chordata; Actinopteri; Perciformes; Sebastidae. The record is from the annotation of a RefSeq genome assembly.